CAUCCAAUUCCAUUUAUUUGCUAUAUCUAUUUGUUCUGAUCAAUUUAAAUUACUCUUAUAUCUUAUAGUUUGAAUUACUAGAUUUUUAAUUUCCAAUCUGAAUCUCGGUAUCUAUUGAAAGAAUCAAAUCAAUAAACGAAAAGCGAUAGAUAUAGGCAGAUUCAAAAAAUCCCGUAGUAAUCUUUUUUUUAAACAUUUCCAAGAAGUAAUUGAGUAAACCAUUGAUAGUACUUCCACGGGCAUCGAAAAGGAGGAGUAAACCUCACCGAUUAUUAACGCAUGAACCAUAAUAUGAAAUAAGUCGAUAAAGCAUAUAUCCAAUUUCAAAAAUUCGAAAGCGGUAAAUGUGCAAUAUGUGGCUCACCUGAAGAUCUUAUUGUGCAUAGUAUCUCGUUAGACAACCACUAUGUUUAUAUCCUUUCUUUCUCAUACAAAGUGUGUACGCACUUAACAAAACCACCUCUUCUUUGAACAGUAAAGAGAGAAACAAAUAAAAAAGAUAUUUUUAUUUAAAUUUUAUUUAGAAUUUUCUUUUUUAUUCAUAAAUAAAAAAAAAGUAAUAAAUACAAAAAAUAGAAAUAAUAAGGAAGAGUAGGAUUUUUGCAGGGAAUGAUUGGUCCGUCAGAAAAGGAAAAAGGUGUGAAAUUCAUAGAAAUAAUAAGGAAGAGUAGGAUUUUUGCAGGGAAUGAUUGGUCCGUCAGAAAAGGAAAAAGUUGUGAAAUUCAAUUUCUUUCAGUUUCAUUUGAUUCAUUGUUAAGACGAGAUAUCCUUAUCUCCCUCCCACCAAGAUAGGAAAUUAACCUACGAGAAAUCUAGUAAGUGGGAUCAAGAAGAAAAUUCUUUUUUCUCCAAGAAUUUAGUUCAGGAGACAAGUAAAAUCUCUUCAUUCCAUGAUUCGAUGAAAUAUCUUGAAAUUUAUGUUGAAUUGCUAGGUGUAUGUACAUGUAUCAAUCAAGUGAAUUUUGUUC
This 968-nucleotide long non-coding RNA is filed under the name Nicotiana benthamiana. RNAcentral's name for it is "long non-coding RNA (NBEN_LNC040142)". Lineage: Eukaryota; Viridiplantae; Streptophyta; Magnoliopsida; Solanales; Solanaceae. The record is from RNAcentral.